GACGAACGCUGGCGGCGUGCUUAACACAUGCAAGUCGAACGGAAAGGCCCCUUUGGGGGUACUCGAGUGGCGAACGGGUGAGUAACACGUGAGUAACCUGCCCUUGACUUCGGGAUAACUUCAGGAAACUGGGGCUAAUACCGGAUAGGAAUCCUUGCUGCAUGGUGGGGGUUGGAAAGCUUCGGCGGUUUUGGAUGGACUCGCGGCUUAUCAGCUUGUUGGUGGGGUAGUGGCUUACCAAGGCUUUGACAGGUAGCCGGCCUGAGAGGGCGACCGGCCACAUUGGGACUGAGAUACGGCCCAGACUCCUACGGGAGGCAGCAGUGGGGAAUAUUGCACAAUGGGCGGAAGCCUGAUGCAGCAACGCCGCGUGCGGGAUGACGGCCUUCGGGUUGGAAACCGCUUUCAGCAGGGGCGAAGCUUGUGGUGACGGUACCUGCAGAAGAAGCACCGGCUAACUACGUG
Molecule: ribosomal RNA, 465 nt
Filed under: uncultured bacterium
Lineage: Bacteria
Description: partial 16S ribosomal RNA
Rfam family: Bacterial small subunit ribosomal RNA
Source: RNAcentral